GUCCACGCUGUAAACGAUGUCUACUGGCCGUUGGCCUCCUUGAGGGGUUAGUGGCGUAGCUAACGCGAUAAGUAGACCGCCUGGGGAGUACGGCCGCAAGGUUAAAACUCAAAUGAAUUGACGGGGGCCCGCACAAGCGGUGGAGCAUGUGGUUUAAUUCGACGCAACGCGAAGAACCUUACCUACUCUUGACAUCCUGCGAAGCCUGUAGAGAUAUGGGUGUGCCUUCGGGAACGCAGAGACAGGUGCUGCAUGGCUGUCGU
Molecule: ribosomal RNA, 263 nt
Filed under: uncultured bacterium
Lineage: Bacteria
Description: partial 16S ribosomal RNA
Rfam family: Bacterial small subunit ribosomal RNA
Source: RNAcentral